RNAcentral lists this long non-coding RNA (1560 nucleotides) under Mus musculus (house mouse). RNAcentral describes it as "long non-coding RNA chr1:86893572-86895132". The record is from RNAcentral. Lineage: Eukaryota; Metazoa; Chordata; Mammalia; Rodentia; Muridae.
UGGAGGGUAGACCAGGAGGGGAAUGAAGUCUGAACUGUAAAAAAAAAAAAAAAAAAAAAAAAAAAAAAAAAAAAAAGAUUAAAGAAUAAAGAAAAAAAAAAAACAAACCCUAUCUCAGGUUCCUAUGUAGCGACCUGUUGUGUGUCCAGCCAUUCAUUCCCCCAGCAGUUUUAGUCUGUCUCAUUCCAUAUCCUGCUCACCCUAUGCAUUCUUCCUUAGUUGCUAGGGACAUUUUAGCUUCUGUAACUGGUUUCUUCCUCUAGAACGAUCAGACAUUUGCUACUCAGGCCUCCCUUGGCAGUUUGCUCAUUUGCUAUCUUGUGUUCUAAUGGAAGUUUGCUCAUGACUCUGAUGUAACAAAUUCCUCAUCAAGAGAAAAGUGGUCUGCUAGCAAUAAAACUGUCAUGUUUAUAACAGCCAACUUAGCAGCACCAAGCAUAUGAUAAAGAAUGUAUUACGGAAGUGUAUAUAGGGUGAAGCGAAAGGAAAAGAGACAUUACCAAGGUUUUAUGUACAGCUAUGGAAACUCAUGUAAUUUACUCGAUGUGCUGUGUGCUUUUAGCAAAUGCUAGGAUUUAUUCCUGUUUCCUUUUGAUAGUCUGAAGAAAAUAAUGAUAAAACAUAGUUUGGUACCUUCAAAUAAGUUAUAGUUCACUGGGAAAAUUAGUUACAAAUUGAUGUUGUAAAAUACUAAAUACAACUUCAGUUUCUGGCAAAGAUGGAAGUACCCUGUUCUUUUCUGGUCCUCCUCAUAAAUGAAAGCAUGGGAGGUAAAAGAGGAUUGUAAAUGGUGGCAAAACAAAACAAAAAAAACAAAAAAAACAAAACAAAACAAAACAAAAACAAGAGGCUCGGACUUGAAUAAUAACAUAGAAUUCCUCUGGAUUUCCUACUUACUUCCUGUAUGUCUCUGGGUUCUGCAGAAGUCACCAACCUGAGAUGUUCACAAACCACAGAAAGGUGACAUUGAAAAUCCUGCUUCCUCUAGGAGAGGGAAAGACAUGGAUUAGCAAUAAGAUGUUUUGACAAUGCCCAACCUAAUGCCAGUCACACACCACCUGAAAAGCCCUCUUUCCCCAUGCACAUAUAGAGUCCUCCUGAGGAUGAGCAAGAUGUUAAUGUUGGGUUGAAAACCAUUGGAAUGUGAGCUGUGAUGCUCUGUUUCCCACACUGUGAUGAUCAUGGAGUCCAGCAGUGAGUCAGUCUUCCAUCCUGCUAACUGGGGACAAGCAGCCCUCAUUCCUUGAGCUAGAUCUGGGGAAGUGGCUGAUCUUUCCUCGAUGUGUGCUAAAGCCUUGAUGGUACUCUUAUUCUCUUGCCUAAUAGGGUCAGCAGGACCAAGCAAGGAGAUGUUCUGUGCCUUUCUCAGUGGAAGAGCCAUGCUCUGUUUCUCUCCCGGGGUUGGGUUAGAACAGCCAAGGGAGGGGAUGGCCUCAUUGCCAUCCAAUGGAAGAGAUGUUUGAAUUUCCCUAUUAAGCUAUGACAGAGUUGAACUUGGAGCUGAUGAUCUUCUAGUCCCUAUCCAAUUCAUGGAGGCCUAUAGUCUGCUUUGUUUUAAGU